This 497-nucleotide ribosomal RNA is filed under the name uncultured bacterium. Its description in RNAcentral is "partial 16S ribosomal RNA". It matches the Rfam family "Bacterial small subunit ribosomal RNA", at positions 28 to 507 of the family's 1533-position model. The record is from RNAcentral.
GAUGAACGCUGGCGGCGUGCCUAAUACAUGCAAGUCGAGCGAACGGACGAGAAGCUUGCUUUUCUGAUGUUAGCGGCGGACGGGUGAGUAACACGUGGAUAACCUACCUAUAAGACUGGGAUAACUUCGGGAAACCGGAGCUAAUACCGUAUAAUAUUUUGAACCGCAUGGUUCAAAAGUGAAAGACGGUCUUGCUGUCACUUAUAGAUGGAUCCGCGCUGCAUUAGCUAGUUGGUAAGGUAACGGCUUACCAAGGCAACGAUGCAUAGCCGACCUGAGAGGGUGAUAGGCCACACUGGAACUGAGCCAAGGUCCAGACUACUACGGGAGGCAGCAGUAGGGAAUCGUCCGCAAUGGGCGAAAGCCUGACGGAGCAACGCCGCGUGAGUGAUGACGGUCUCCGGAUCGUAAAACUCUGUUAUUAGGGAAGAACAUAUGUGUAAGUAACUGUGCACAUAUUGACGGUACCUAAUCAGAAAGCCACGGCUAACUACGUG